CAGCUGCAGUACACUGUGCAGUACUAAUUACUAAUGAGUCUGAGCUGUCAUCAUUUAGAGACUUUGUAUUUUUUUUUUUGCUAGUUUUGUUCUGCAUUUGUCAUUUUUCAUCAUCGUGAAUAAUGGUGUUUGUGAGACAGCACAAAUUCCAGUCUGUCAGGACCUGAAGUCCACUUUCCUUGCAGGAAAAGCAGCGGCUAGUCUUAGUGCAGAUGAAGAGAGGGACUCACUGUAGACAGGAGGGUUAUGUUAUUUGUGUUCAGGAUGGGAUGUCGAAGCCAGAACUGUGUGAGGCUGAUAGCUGGUGAGUUUCCUCCGGUAAACACAGCUGCCUCAUCAGCUCCGCUUCAGAAGCAGCACUGCACCAACCGGAGAUCAGAGAUUCAACUCCACGAAGACAUGAACUGUUGUGGUCCAGGGAGGCUUUGGGUGCAGACAUGAAGAAGAGAGAGUGGAGGACCUGAAGCUGUGGAGGCCAGCCAUCAUCAACCAGUUAGCAAAUUCAAGACUCCAUCAGCCCUGAGGGAGGACUACUCCCUCUCUGUCCUCCCCUGGUCUGGGGUCCCUCUCCAGAUCCUGCCAACAGAUCACCAAACACCAGUAAGUCAGCCUGAAACCUGCACAGCCUUGACGGUUUAACACAGAACUUCAGUGUUGAAAUGCAGCACGAAUGUUGUGGUUCUCAGUUUGCAGUUUGACAUGAUUACAAGUCAGAUUAAUUCUAUAAUUCAUACUCAUAUUUACCAAGAGGCUACAUUUUCAGUUUCAGACAGGCUUUGUUUAUUUAUUUAUAUUUGAAACCUGAGAAAAAAAAAAUUUAGAUCAUGAAUGAUUGAGUGAUCGGGUAUUUUUGAACAUUUUCACCAUUUACUCAUGGUUAUUAAAUAAAAAAAUCUGUCUCAUGAUUGUCUAUCUGUGAGUGUAUCUGAUGUAGAGCCAGACACAGAUUGAAACAUUUUGAAAUAGCUAAUUAAACAUUGUGCAGUUUUGGCAGAUCUACUCUGUGCUUUCUAGUUGUUUUGAAAGGGUAAAUUAGUUUGACCAUAUAUGUCUGAGAUACAUCACUUACAAACUUACGUUCAGCAUUUUUGUGUGCAUGUCUUACCUGAUUCUAGUUAAAUAUAUAUAUAUAUUUUAUACCAGUCUUUCAAUCUGUCAAUCUAUAGGUCAGUGGUUGUCUACUGUUACUCUAUGUGUUAAAAACACUUAUUGAUCAGUUUGAUGGUGAUAGUUACUUUUAAGUUAGUGUUCUGAAUUUUGGUGGUGGGAUUAAAUCUUGGUUUACAUUUGUAUUAUAUAAUAUGCUUUAUUGUACUCAAUGCAGUUGGAGAAUAUUAGAACGCACUAAUAGUUUUAUUUAUAUAGGUUUAUUAGUAUUGGCUGCUGAUGUCUGCAUGCCAACUGAUAGUAUCUGAUAAUUAUGAAGCUGCUCUUAACAGCAUAAAACGUUUUAAUACAUCCAAACAAUUGGUUGUCAUUGUUAUAAUUUUCAUUAAUUGUCACCUAAAUGAGGCCAUUGAAACCCUCUGUAAUGUCCUCUGUUGUCCUAUUAAAAGUCUAAAUUAGAAACAUAUCUCUCUCUUUAUCUGCCUCUCCC
Thunnus maccoyii (southern bluefin tuna) is the source of this 1597-nucleotide long non-coding RNA. RefSeq lists it as uncharacterized. NCBI's taxonomy places the organism in Eukaryota, Metazoa, Chordata, Actinopteri, Scombriformes, Scombridae. The transcript has 3 exons. The record is from RefSeq and is a predicted model, not a curated record.